UACGAAGGGGGCUAGCGUUGCUCGGAAUGACUGGGCGUAAAGGGCGCGUAGGCGGUUCGUACAGUCAGACGUGAAAUUCCCGGGCUCAACCUGGGGGCUGCGUUUGAUACCUGCGGGCUUGAGUUCGGAAGAGGGUCGUGGAAUUCCCAGUGUAGAGGUGAAAUUCGUAGAUAUUGGGAAGAACACCGGUGGCGAAGGCGGCGACCUGGUCCGAUACUGACGCUGAGGCGCGAAAGCGUGGGGAGCAAACAGG
This 253-nucleotide ribosomal RNA is filed under the name uncultured bacterium. Its description in RNAcentral is "partial 16S ribosomal RNA". It matches the Rfam family "Bacterial small subunit ribosomal RNA", at positions 524 to 776 of the family's 1533-position model. The record is from RNAcentral.